Molecule: ribosomal RNA, 482 nt
Filed under: uncultured bacterium
Lineage: Bacteria
Description: partial 16S ribosomal RNA
Rfam family: Bacterial small subunit ribosomal RNA
Source: RNAcentral
GAUGAACGCUGGCGGCGUGCUUAACACAUGCAAGUCGAACGAUAAGACCACUUCGUUGGCUCACGGGUGGCGACCGGGUGAGGAAUAGUAACACAUGUGUCUCGUACCUGUGAAUAACGACUCGAUACGGUAACUCGUACCUCAUGCCGGCUAAUGUUGUAAACCGGAGAGCUCCAAGGCUUAAGAUGCUCUAGCUGCUGAUGACAGAUGAGCUAGUUGUUGAGGUAAAAGCUUACCAGGCAGACGAUCUGUAGCGGGUCUGAGAGGAUGACCAGCCACACUGGAACUGAGACACGGCCCAGACUCCUACGGGAGGCAGCAGUAGGGAAUUUUGGCCAAUGGGCGCAAGCCUGAUCCAGCAACGCCGCGUGAAUGAUGAAGGCCUUCGGGUCGUAAACUGCUGUUGUUCGGAAAGAACAGCUGUCUUCGAAACCAGGCGCGUCAUGACGGUACCUUAAGAAUAAGCACCGGCUAACUACGUG